Molecule: long non-coding RNA, 411 nt
Organism: Cyprinus carpio (common carp)
Lineage: Eukaryota; Metazoa; Chordata; Actinopteri; Cypriniformes; Cyprinidae
Exons: 2
Source: RefSeq, a predicted model, not a curated record
UAUGUAAAAACAGAUCUACUAGAGGGAACGUCCUGCACCAUAAAGCUUCCAACAAAAAACACUGACAAAUCUAAUGAGAUCACAUGGCUCCAUCUCUCUAGUGAUGCCGUGAUUCACAGGAAAAAUGGGAAGAUCAAGAAACCCAUUCCAGGUCUAACAAUGGAAGAAGAUGGAUCAUUAACAUUUGAAAGUGUUAGUCUGAAGAACAGCGGCAAAUAUAAAUACACUGUUUAUAAUAGUGACGGUACAGAGAUUAAUGCUGGAGAAAAGGAAAUUAAAGUUUAUGCAAAGGCUCCUAAACCUACUCUGACCAUCAACUACAAAGAUGGGAUCUCUACACUCACCUGUGACUUCAGAGAGCGUCCAGAUCUGACUGUAUCCUGGUAUAAAGAAGAAAUAAUCAUCCAGAAU